AUUUCUGGAUUUAAUUUACUUGUAAUUAGAUAAUGUGAUAUAUACAGAAUAAUGUAUAUAGAAUAUAGCAUGUAGCACCUUUUAUAUCGCACAUGAUUUUCUUUUUAAUUAUCCAAUCUUAUAACAGUUAAGAAUAUUUGAAGUGUACUGUCUUCAAAAGUUGUAUAUAUAAAGUAAAAUUCUGUUAACAAUUCUGUCUUAGCAUAUAAAUAUUCUAACAAUCUUAAUUUUUCAAUACAACCUUUCUAUACAGCAAUAUACAACCAUAUCUAUGUAAACAUAGAAAACAGCAUAUUCUGAGGUUUGUAAUAACUCUCUGAAACUUACAUAUAUAUAUAUUACUGUGGAUUCAUUAUUAUUCGUGAGAUAACAAUUUUCGUGGCUUUCAUGGGUACAGGUGAAACACAAAAAAAAAAAAAAAUAUUCAAUGAAUUACAAAUUUUCUAUUAGGUAAUAUGCAGAUUUUGGCAAAACCAUGAAUAAAAUAUCCACGAACAUGCAAGUUUUACUUAAUCCACGAACAUGCAAGUUUUACUCAAUCUACAAAAAUUGAUAACAACGAAAAAAAUAAAUGAAUCCACAGUUAAUAUUUUAAUCAUUGCUACUUGGAUAAGAAGAAAUUAUUUAAAAGAGAGCAACUGUUAUGUACAAAAAUUUAAAAUUUGUAUUGCACAUAAAAUAUUUAUAACCUGAUUCUACAAAUUUCUAAAAUGCUAAAAAUAUAUUCACAGCAAUAUAAAAAUUAAUAUGUUUGUAUAAUAUCAGAAAUGAGCCAAGUCCUAUCACAGGUUUCUAAAUUACUGUAAUAAAAUGGACCUUCUCACACAUUAAUGUGACAAAAACUAAACCUCAAAAACUUUCUAUGAUACUAAAUACACAUAAAAUGUAUGAAGACAUUACCAUGAUAAUAAUAUAACUAACAUAGAAAAUAACAAACUGAAAUAUCAGGCUCACAACCUCUUUAUGGAAUGUCAUCAAAAGUGAAGUCUUCAUACAGGAUACAACAUUUUUAACAAUUUAAUUUACAUUUUGAUCACAUGAUUCAGUGUUAAAAAAUGAAGAUACAAAAUUCAAGACUUUUUAUCAACAUCGUAAACUUUAAGGUGUCCUUGUUCGUAUUUAGAAAAAAUAUUUUCCAAAUUAUUUUUUUCUUUGUUUCAUUGGCCUUGUCACAAUGAGUCACGACUAUAAAUUUUCCCUUACAGAAUAACACUUAGUUUACUAAGCCUUUAUUCCACACAAAAAGUAGUGGCAGAUCCAGAGAGUGGGGGUCCACUGACUGCCUAAAAGGGAGCCUGCUCCGGUCAAGCUUCCGUGAUUCCCUAUAUAAUCAACAAAAAUUUUCCCAGAAAAGGGGGGGGGGGGGGGGUGGAGGAGCUAAAUCCUAAAUCCCCACUGAAAUAUUCUAUUUGCAAUAACAGUCAUCAGUAAUCUAAUAAUAAAAUUAUUUUGUUAGUGACAAAAGUCUAUUGAAACAACCCCAUUCAAAAAUACAUUUCAGAUCUAUUGGCAUUUUUUUUUCCAGGAAGGUUUUUUUCAAAUGGAUUUAAAUUAUAUAUGAUGGAUUGAGAUUUCUGUUAAGGUGUUAUUGUCAUCACACAUUUAACCACCUGUCACAUGUAUUAACUUUGAUUACAUAAAUAACAUAUUAGUGUUUACUAAAAUAAACUAUUUAUAACUUUGUAAAAUAAUCUUACUAUCAUCAGUCAUAAUAAAUUAGUUUCUUUUCUGUAAAGGCUUUUUUUUUUAAUAUUUCUUAACUGAUGCUAACGUUCUCAAUCCAUUAUUUCUUUUUUAUUCAACGUGUGGUUAAGUUGUUCACACUUGUUCUUUUACAGUGCUUAUCCAGUGACCUUUGGGGUAUCACAAUAGCAAUGGCCAAAACAGUUUACCAAAUUGCAGUUAGAUUUCUUCUCCAACUAACUGAUCAACUGGUAAAAUGUUUUACCAGAUUGCUCAAGUGAAAUGUUGUUAGUAUGAAGUGAGUGCUGUGAAAUCAAAAGUAAUACUUACCAUCCAGUUAGUUGAUACCUUUGUCAUUUGUUUCAAACACAAAAAUGACUUACUAUAGUAUGAGUCACUGAAUAAGAAGGUCUAAUUUUGAAAUGGAAACUUCUAUCAUAAAUAGAUUUUAUAAAUAAAUAGUUCAAACCAUUGUUUUGUAGAUGUAUAUUUUAUAGCUUUGUCUUCUAAGACAAAGUUAUUGUAGCUUUGUCUUCUAAGACAAAGUUAUUGUGUAAUUAUGAUUCGUAUAAUAUUUUCUAUACAAAUUACUGAUCUGCUGGCAUUAAAGGGAAAUAAUUUUUAUUGAGUUAUUGUACACUAAAAAAUUAAUCAAUGAUACCUGGCUUCUGAUUUUGCCUACAAUUUUUUUCAAAAUUUUGAUCAUCUUAAAAAUAAAUUUCAUUGUUUCUUUUCAAAACAGAGGAUAAAAGUUUAAUAAUCAUAAAAGUAAUGUUACAAACAAAUUAAAUGAGGAAAGUUGAUAUUUGUCAGACAAAAAUUGUGACAACAUUUUGCUGAUUUUCAGUAAUGUAAAUUAUUUCCCUUUAAUGGUAGCAGAUAAGUAAUUGCUUUAGAAAAAAAAAUCCAAAUUACAUUUGCACUAACUUGUUGUUGGAAAACGGAGCUAUUAAUUAUAGACUUACAAAAACAUGUUUUCAACUAUUUAUUUAUAAAAUCUAUUUAUGAUAGAGGUUUCCAUGUCAAAAUUAGACCUUCUUAUUCAGUGACUCAUAUUAUAGUAAGUCAUUUUUGUGUUUGAAACAAAUGACAAAGAUAUCAACUCACUGGAUCUGGAUGGUAAGUAUUACUUUUGAUUUUACAGCACUCACUUCAUACUAACAACAUUUCACUUGAGUAAUCUGCUAAAAUAAUUUACCAGUUGAUCAGUUAGUUGGAGAAGAAAUCUAACUGCAAUUUGGUAAACUGUUUUGUCCAUUGCUAUUGUGAUACCCCAAAGGUCACUGGAUAAGCACUGUAAGAAAAACUCAAUUACAAUGUAUAGGCAAACAUUCCUGAUCAGUCAAUCAAUCAUUACUAAAUAUUUUAUAUUUAUCAAAUGAAUUGUGGAUAAUAAACCCAUUUUGGCAAAGGAAACAUUAUGGAGCCAUUUUUUUUUAGCCCAAAUAUUUUGACCAAGGAUUUGUAUAGAAAUCUGUCUGAUACUGUUACAACACAUUUUUAUGCCCCACCAUACGAUAGUAGAGGGGCAUUAUGUUUUAUGGUCUGUGUGUCCGAUCGUUCGUCCGUCUGUUCUUUCAGUUUUUUGUGGUUUUUGAUGAAGUUGAAGUCCAAUCCACUUGAAACUUAGUACACAUGUUCCCUAUGAUAUGAUCUUUCUAAUUUAAAUGUCAAAUUAGUGUUUUUUACUCAAAUUUCACGGUCCACUGAACAUAGAAAAUGAUAGUGCGAGUGGGGCAUCUGUGUACUUGGGACACAUUCUUGUUUUAUCUCUCAUAUUCAUUAACUUAUCAAGUUGUUAACAGUUUAUCUAACCAUUUGUUCAAUAGCAUUUGUGAAAUGAAUCAAUUCUUUAAAAAAUUUGCUAUGUACAAUCUUUUCCAAAUAUGAAAGGUCACUGUCUAUAGUUAUAUAUAAUGCUGAUGAUUUUUAUAUACAAUGUUACAAUAUUUCUGACUAGAUGACAUAACCAGAGCUAUAUCUUUAUUCUUAAAUACAAAUAAAUACUUUCUAUUUAUAGUAAUCCAAGUUACAAUUCAAAGAUUCAAUUAUAAAUUUUCAGAUCUUAAGAAUUUUUUGUCAACAAACAAAAAUAAAAUUUUUUGUAGUCCUGUAGAUUGAAAAUAUAUUGCAUGUUGUUCAAUUUGAUAAUAUUAUUUGACAAGGUAAAAUACAAGACAUGAUAUUGAUAGAAGCAUUCUUAUUUAAAGCACUAACCCAGUGAAAUUUCUCUCCAAAAAAAUUGAAAGCAAGAAUAUUUUACAGAAAACCAUGAUUAUUUAUAGCUGCAUAAUAUAACUGGUUAUUUUUAAGACUUUUUAUUUUAAUUUUGGCAAAGUCAAUGAUUCACUUGUGUAUAAAACUCCAUUUUUUCUUUAAAGGUAUAAAAUAUAACAAGUAAUGACAAAAAUCUCAUUUUGUACUUAUGUUAUCCAGAUUGUGCUUUCCACUUUUGACAUGUGUUCAAUGGUGGUAUAACUUUCUU
RNAcentral lists this long non-coding RNA (4168 nucleotides) under Mytilus galloprovincialis (Mediterranean mussel). Lineage: Eukaryota; Metazoa; Mollusca; Bivalvia; Mytilida; Mytilidae. The record is from RNAcentral.